AGUGAGCUGAGCUGUGUCCUGGCUCAGACGGACAGCUCUGACUCGCUCUCUCUUUCUCUGGGCGCCUGCGCGCCUACCAUGUCAAGCCAUUUGAGGCGAGCCGAGCCCCAGAGCCAUGUCUCUGGUGCACAGAGUUAACAGGGCAGUUAUACCUUUUGCAGACAACUGUGGCUCCAAGUCAAGUAUGAACUUACACAAACAGUUUAUAUAACAAGUGGAGGUGUGCGCCUGCGUGCCAAACUUGCUGACUCAUGCAGGCCUGGAUACCCGCCUCAGCCUAUUCCUUGACCGAAGCACUUCCAGAUUCCUUGUGAGCAGGGACCCUGGUUUAUUCAUCUCGUAUCCUCAGCACCUAACAUACCACGUGGUUCAAUAAAUUUUUCUGUUGGACAGAACCCUUCUAGACUGGAUCAUUAUGUCUUCACCCUGACAGCGAGGGCAGGAAACUGAAGCUCUUGGGAAGGUGGAAGUUGCACGUGGUCUCACAGUCAACUGUGCCAGAAUAGGAGGCCAGGAACCAUCUCUGUUGGAGGAAGACCCACCACGCAUCCCUUCAAGAAUGCCAAGGUCCAGAGCAAGCGCUUCCCUUCUAUGGGCACAGGAGGGCUGUGGGAGCCCACAGAAUGGGCUUCUGGCCAGAGUGGGAUCCGCGAGGAAGAUGUUAAGACCUCUAAUAAUAUUUAAGAGCAAAAUUAGCACAGCUCCAGCCCAUGGGCAAGUUAGAGACAGGAGUGGUGUCUGUGGAGUGGAGGAAAGCAGAGGCUGCCGCUGACCAUCCUGCAGCCCUCGCUCUGGCUGCUCACAGCUCUCCACCUUCUCUGGACUUCGUCACUUCAGUAUGUGAAACAACCAUUUCAACCAGCUUGGACAAAAGAGAGAAGCCAAGAUGGGGCUGAGAAACCAAUGCAGGCAGGCCCAGGGACCCAGGAGUCAGGGACCAGGUGCUACCGGAUGCUUGCUCUGACUCAUGUUGCUGCUGUCUUCUCUGUGCCUCAACUCUGUCCUCUGUCACUGCAGGCAGCUUCCUCCCAAGGUGGUAAGUAGGGCUGCUGCCAGCCCUGGUGAAUGACAUCUUAGUUUUUACACUGGAGAUACACUGACCGCCUUUCUUGGUUCCAGGAUGAAAAAGUCUGGGGAGGACUUUGACUCUUACCCAUCCCCUGGAAAAAUCAACUGGGGAGGUGGAAUUCAUGGAAGAACAUGGCAGCUCCUGAGGCAGAUGUUUGGGUUGGAAAGAACACACCAUUCAUUCAUUCAUGUGGCACUUUUUUUUUUUUUUUUUGACGGAGUUUCACUCUGUUACCCAGGCUGGAGUGCAGUGGCGCGAUCUCAGCUCACUCAUGCAGCACAUUUUUAUUGAGCAAAACUGAGAGGCUGAGUGAGGGACCAAAGUCUUCACUGAUGAGGGAUAGGGUGCCCAGAGAUUGGCAGAUGAAGGUGAAGAGAAAAGGUAGAGGACACCAAGGGCCCUGCCAAGCAGCAGAAGUAGGAGGAAUUGAGGAGCUUCUUCCAGAAUGAAAUCAGUUGCACUUUUUUAUUUUUUAUUUUUUGAGACAGGGUAUUUCUCUGUUCUCCAGGCUGGAGUGCAGUGGUUGAUCUCGGCUCACUGGUGACCAGCCUUUGGCUGCUGGCUCAAGUGGACUUCCUGCCUCAGCCUCCUGAGGAGUUGGUAUUACAGGCACGUACCACCAUGCCUGGCUAAUUUUUGUAUUUUUAGUAGAGAUGGGGUUUCACCAUGUUGUCCAGGCUGAUCUUGAACUCCUGAACUCAAGUAAUCAGCCCGCCUCGGCCUCCCAAAGUGCUGGGAUUUUAGGCGUGAGCUACUGGGCCCGGCCCAAUUGCUCCUUUGAAAGGAAGUCCUGCUAUGAAAAAAAGUAGCAGUUGAACUAAAUGGUGAAUUGAAUGAUGUAGCUGCUUUACAUCCUGGCUCAAGCUCCUGACCUUGUUGUAAAACAAUAAAAGUUUGGGCACCAGCAGUGAGUCUCCCAGCUACACUGUGAGUAGCUGUGCCCGAGGGGAAUUCUUGCACAUACUCUAUGGGAGAUGUGUACAAGAAUGUGCAUAGUAGCAUUGUCUAUAAUAGCUAAAAAAGGAAACAACCCAGAUAUUCAUAAGUAAUAGAAUAAAAAAGAAAUUUUGGCAUAAUGAAAUCCCAUAUAGCAAAGAAACCAAAUAAACUACAGCUACACCCAUCAACAUGAACAAAUUUCAAAAAUACUGUUGAGCAAAGACAGCAUGUUAAGAAGGUUACAAUUAGCAUGGCUUUGUCACGUGAAAUUCACAAAAGGCACCACUAAGCAGUAUAUUGGUUAGGGAUCCACAACAAAUGGAUUAAAACUAUAAAGGAAAGCCAGGGAAUGAGUAACACCUGUGUCAGGUCAGUGGCUUGCCCCAGGGUUUGGGAAGGGAGAGCAAGACAAUUGGGAAGGGUGGGCAUGGAGUGAGCUUCAUGGUAUUGGCAAUGUUCAAUUCCUUAAGCUGGGUGGUGUGGAUAUGGGUAUCUGGUUUUUAUUAUUAUUCUUUAAGCUGGACAUAUACGUUAUGCACAUUCUUUUGUAAUAGGAUCUAUUUCACAAUGAAAAAAAAAUUGUAAAGCGAUAUAGCCAAAACCAAAGCUCCUCCACACCGCAAUAAAAGGUAGAGUUUGAUGUG
Long non-coding RNA from Gorilla gorilla gorilla (western lowland gorilla), 2652 nucleotides. RefSeq lists it as uncharacterized. The transcript has 5 exons. NCBI's taxonomy places the organism in Eukaryota, Metazoa, Chordata, Mammalia, Primates, Hominidae. The record is from RefSeq and is a predicted model, not a curated record.